Molecule: ribosomal RNA, 253 nt
Filed under: uncultured bacterium
Lineage: Bacteria
Description: partial 16S ribosomal RNA
Rfam family: Bacterial small subunit ribosomal RNA
Source: RNAcentral
UACGUAGGGGGCUAGCGUUGUCCGGAAUCAUUGGGCGUAAAGAGCGUGUAGGCGGUCCGGUAAGUCCGCUGUGAAAGUCGGGGGCUCAACCCUCGAAUGCCGGUGGAUACUGUCGUGCUAGAGUGCGGAAGGGGCUACUGGAAUUCUCGGUGUAGCGGUGAAAUGCGUAGAUAUCGAGAGGAACACCAGCGGCGAAGGCGGGUAGCUGGGCCGACACUGACGCUGAGGCGCGAAAGCCAGGGGAGCGAACGGG